This 253-nucleotide ribosomal RNA is filed under the name uncultured bacterium. RNAcentral's name for it is "partial 16S ribosomal RNA". It matches the Rfam family "Bacterial small subunit ribosomal RNA", at positions 524 to 776 of the family's 1533-position model. The record is from RNAcentral.
UACGUAGGUGGCAAGCGUUGUCCGGAUUUACUGGGCGUAAAGAGCGCGCAGGCGGUCGUUCAAGUCGCGUGUGAAAGCCCCCGGCUCAACUGGGGAGGGUCACGCGAUACUGAUCGACUCGAAGGCAGGAGAGGGAAGUGGAAUUCCCGGUGUAGUGGUGAAAUGCGUAGAUAUCGGGAGGAACACCAGUGGCGGAGGCGACUUCCUGGCCUGUUCUUGACGCUGAGGCGCGAAAGCUAGGGGAGCGAACGGG